Molecule: long non-coding RNA, 1355 nt
Organism: Lemur catta (Ring-tailed lemur)
Lineage: Eukaryota; Metazoa; Chordata; Mammalia; Primates; Lemuridae
Exons: 3
Source: RefSeq, a predicted model, not a curated record
GGAGGCGGCACCUGGUUGUGGAGGGUGUCGCGAUGGGAGGGGCGGAACCCCUGUGUUUCCCUGGGAGACUUGGAUCCCCGGCAGUUUUGCAGAAUACUGCUAUCUAUGGACUCUAAAAUGAACUUCAUUUAAAGAAACCCACGGACCAUUAAUGGACAAAAUCAUGAAUCAUUAUGUAUUAUGGCAUUCAAAUCCUAGCACUUUGGGAGAGCAUCAAGUACCAAGUUUUUGAAGACCUUGGCCUACUACCAUCAUUAUCCAUUCAAGAUUUCAGUUUGAAUAACCUCAUCCAGACUUAGAUCUUCUUCAAAAGCUUCAAGUCUCAUCUGCAUUAAAGCUCUCCAUUGAACUCCCUUGCAAAAGUGAAAGCUUAAAGAGACUAACAUCCAUUAAUACAUUCCAUUUUAUAUCUCUUCUUCUGUUCUCUUCAAUUUCCUUGACCACCAGAGUCUUUCAUAUUCUUAUGUUCCUUUAGACCAGAGCCAAAGAAACAGUGCUUUCCAAAAAAUAUAUGUUCUGUGGCCAUCAGAACAUUGGUAGAGAAGCAUAAAUUUGGCAUGAUAGAUUUAGAAUUAGGUCUUCUAUUAUAUUCUAUAAAAAGUUGAAUUAACAAUAAGAAAAUGAGGAAGUAGUAAAAAUAUUUGAGGUUAGAUUAUACUCCCAGAAGCCAUGUGGUUAAGAGAAAAGAGCCCUCAACCUAACAUUUGAUGCCUCUUACUCUGUAUGCCUCUUACUAGGUGAUGACUGACUGACUAGGUGAUGACUGGGAAAGUCACCUAACCUCUCUGAACCUUAACUUCAUUAUCUAUAAAGUGAAGCUGAUAAUAUUUUCCCCACCUACCUCACAGGGUUGUUGUGAGGAUCAAAGGAAAUAAUGUACAUAAAAAAGACUUAUAUAAAAUGUAUAAUACAGACAUAGGAUCCUGUUGCAUAGUUACAAGUCAUUCCCUCAGCUCUUGGGCCCGGGAGGGUAGGUGAUUUAAGUAUACUGAAAGUGUGUACCAUGUUAAAGCUGGAUACAUGGUAACAAGACUAUGUUAAUUUUUUUUUCUCUAAGUACAUGGAAUACUACCAUGGGCUAAUUCUAAAAAGGAGCAAGACUAUAAGUUUCCCUAAAAUUAUCAAUUAGCAUUGAUAAUGCUCUAAGAAAGUAGUUACGGUUAUAACAUACUAGUAGUUUGCAAAAUUGAUUUACUAAGUUGUGACCAGCAUUUUUUUAAAAUAAAAGAACACAGAGCAGAAUAUUUCACAAUGUAUCCCAGAUGUUAAGAGUAAAUAUGGUUUUAGCUAUACAUAUGUAUAAAUGUCUGUGUACUUGGUAGUUAAAUAAAAUGCAUUUUUUCCUGUGAGUUGUA